This 465-nucleotide ribosomal RNA is filed under the name Vreelandella stevensii. RNAcentral's name for it is "partial 16S ribosomal RNA". It matches the Rfam family "Bacterial small subunit ribosomal RNA", at positions 338 to 795 of the family's 1533-position model. The record is from RNAcentral. Lineage: Bacteria; Pseudomonadati; Pseudomonadota; Gammaproteobacteria; Oceanospirillales; Halomonadaceae.
CCUACGGGGGGCUGCAGUGGGGAAUAUUGGACAAUGGGGGGAACCCUGAUCCAGCCAUGCCGCGUGUGUGAAGAAGGCCCUCGGGUUGUAAAGCACUUUCAGUGAGGAAGAACGCCUGGUGGUUAAUACCCAUCAGGAAAGACAUCACUCACAGAAGAAGCACCGGCUAACUCCGUGCCAGCAGCCGCGGUAAUACGGAGGGUGCGAGCGUUAAUCGGAAUUACUGGGCGUAAAGCGCGCGUAGGUGGCUUGAUAAGCCGGUUGUGAAAGCCCCGGGCUCAACCUGGGAACGGCAUCCGGAACUGUCAAGCUAGAGUGCAGGAGAGGAAGGUAGAAUUCCCGGUGGAGCGGUGAAAUGCGUAGAGAUCGGGAGGAAUACCAGUGGCGAAGGCGGCCUUCUGGACUGACCCUGACACUGAGGUGCGAAAGCGUGGGUAGCAAACAGGAUUAGAUACCCUUGUAGUC